This 404-nucleotide ribosomal RNA is filed under the name uncultured bacterium. RNAcentral describes it as "bacterial SSU rRNA". It matches the Rfam family "Bacterial small subunit ribosomal RNA", at positions 355 to 776 of the family's 1533-position model. RNAcentral also lists the same sequence under 1 other name. The record is from RNAcentral.
UGGGGAAUAUUGGACAAUGGGGGCAACCCUGAUCCAGCAAUGCCGCGUGUGUGAAGAAGGUCUUCGGAUCGUAAAGCACUUUCGGCGGGGACGAUGAUGACGGUACCCGCAGAAGAAGCCCCGGCUAACUUCGUGCCAGCAGCCGCGGUAAUACGAAGGGGGCUAGCGUUGCUCGGAAUUACUGGGCGUAAAGGGCGCGUAGGCGGCUUGGCCAGUCAGGCGUGAAAUUCCUGGGCUUAACCUGGGGACUGCGCUUGAUACUGCCAGGCUUGAGGCCGAGAGAGGGUGGUGGAAUUCCCAGUGUAGAGGUGAAAUUCGUAGAUAUUGGGAAGAACACCGGUGGCGAAGGCGACCACCUGGCUCGGUACUGACGCUGAGGCGCGACAGCGUGGGGAGCAAACAGG